AGGGCGGGGGCUGCCCCCGCGCGCCACCUGAGGAGGGCGGCUCUGGCGAGGUGAAGGAAUCGUGAAGGGUCCUGGAGCUCCUCAGGGCUGAGUAAAGAAGAACUGGCCACAGGCCAUCUUGGACAUGUUGUGGAGAAUGAAAGAACACUGGAAUGACCCUUUUCUUUCUCUCCUGUUGUGAACCUCUUCACAUAUGAGAUAACCUAAUGUAAAGUCUAUAUAGCAGUCUGAAGCCAAUGGAAUAGUGAUGGUAAUUUUUAUAUUCAUGAGCGGGGAUGUGAAAGCUUACAGAAGAUAUGGUAUUCAUACACAAAGCUGGCUUAAGGUAUCUCAGAAGUGAAGGCAAAGUUGUGAUUCUCUGCUCUGAGGAUGAAGGCCAGGAUGGGAAAGCCAUUGCUGCUGUAGGGAGAGAAGCACUGAUGUGAGCCACCCUUCCUUCCCUCUCCAGGAAGAAAAUCUCUGAAGAAGCUGAAGUGAGGGAGGAUGAGCGAUUUUCUGAACUUCUGCAUAUUCAGUUACUGUUUUCUACAGGGAAAACUAUCACCAACAAGUAUGCCCUGACAGAAGUCUUACACCGAAGAAAACAAUGAUUUUUGGUCAAGGAGAUUUAAGAGAGAAACUGACACUCAAGUGGGGGAGGGAAAGGAGAACAUCAUCUACGCGUUUGGACAAAUUCAUCUUUCUGCCCGUCACUUCAUAUCCACGUCAAAGUCCAACACCAGCAGCUUUGUUUCCUCAGUCCCGUUGCGGCUCCCAACCGCACACACUAG
This is a long non-coding RNA of Chroicocephalus ridibundus (black-headed gull), 770 nucleotides long. RefSeq lists it as uncharacterized. The transcript is spliced from 7 exons. NCBI's taxonomy places the organism in Eukaryota, Metazoa, Chordata, Aves, Charadriiformes, Laridae. The record is from RefSeq and is a predicted model, not a curated record.